GCCAGACUCCUACGGGAGGCAGCAGUGAGGAAUAUUGGUCAAUGGGCAAGAGCCUGAACCAGCCAAGUCGCGUGAGGGAAGACGGUCCUAUGGAUUGUAAACCUCUUUUGUCGGGGAGCAAAAAGGCCUCGUGAGGCCACAAGUGAGAGUACCCGAAGAAAAAGCAUCGGCUAACUCCGUGCCAGCAGCCGCGGUAAUACGGAGGAUGCGAGCGUUAUCCGGAUUUAUUGGGUUUAAAGGGUGCGCAGGCGGAAUGUCAAGUCAGCGGUAAAAUUUCGGGGCUCAACCCCGUCGUGCCGUUGAAACUGGCAGUCUCGAGUUGGGGAGAAGUAUGCGGAAUGCGCGGUGUAGCGGUGGAAUGCAUAGAUA
RNAcentral lists this ribosomal RNA (369 nucleotides) under uncultured bacterium. Its description in RNAcentral is "bacterial SSU rRNA". It matches the Rfam family "Bacterial small subunit ribosomal RNA", at positions 330 to 696 of the family's 1533-position model. The record is from RNAcentral.